ACUCCUACGGGAGGCAGCAGUGGGGAAUAUUGCACAAUGGGCGCAAGCCUGAUGCAGCCAUGCCGCGUGUAUGAAGAAGGCCUUCGGGUUGUAAAGUACUUUCAGCAGUGAGGAAGGUAGUGUAGUUAAUAGCUGCAUUAUUUGACGUUAGCGACAGAAGAAGCACCGGCUAACUCCGUGCCAGCAGCCGCGGUAAUACGGAGGGUGCGAGCGUUAAUCGGAAUUACUGGGCGUAAAGCGCAUGCAGGUGGUUUGUUAAGUCAGAUGUGAAAGCCCGGGGCUCAACCUCGGAAUUGCAUUUGAAACUGGCAGACUAGAGUACUGUAGAGGGGGGUAGAAUUUCAGGUGUAGCGGUGAAAUGCGUAGAGAUCUGAAGGAAUACCGGUGGCGAAGGCGGCCCCCUGGACAGAUACUGACACUCAGAUGCGAAAGCGUGGGAGCAAACAGGAUUAGAUACCCUGGUAGGUGA
This 469-nucleotide ribosomal RNA is filed under the name uncultured bacterium. Its description in RNAcentral is "bacterial SSU rRNA". It matches the Rfam family "Bacterial small subunit ribosomal RNA", at positions 335 to 797 of the family's 1533-position model. The record is from RNAcentral.